Molecule: ribosomal RNA, 741 nt
Filed under: uncultured bacterium
Lineage: Bacteria
Description: bacterial SSU rRNA
Rfam family: Bacterial small subunit ribosomal RNA
Source: RNAcentral
AGAGUUUGAUCCUGGCUCAGAAUGAACGCUGGCGGCGUGCUUAACACAUGCAAGUCGAGCGAGGCGAGGGGGGCAACUCCCUCAGUCGAGCGGCGGACGGGUGAGUAACACGUGGGUCACCUGCCCGGAAGUGGGGAAUACCUCGGGGAAACUCGAGCUAAUACCGCAUGACAUCGUCGGGACGCCUGUCCUGACGAUCAAAGCGGGGCCGCAAGGCCUCGCGCUACCGGAUGGGCCCGCGCCCGAUUAGCUAGUUGGUGAGGUAACGGCUCACCAAGGCGACGAUCGGUAACCGGCCUGAGAGGGCGAUCGGUCACACCGGAACUGAGACACGGCCCGGACUCCUACGGGAGGCAGCAGUGGGGAAUCUUGCGCAAUGGGCGAAAGCCUGACGCAGCAACGCCGCGUGGAGGAUGAAGGCCCUUGGGUUGUAAACUCCUGUCGGUUGGGAAGAAAUCAUCCGAGGUGAAUACCCUCGGGUGUUGACUGUACCAGCAAAGGAAGCCCCGGCUAACUCUGUGCCAGCAGCCGCGGUAAUACAGAGGGGGCCAGCGUUAUUCGGAAUUAUUGGGCGUAAAGGGCGCGUAGGCGGCCAUGCGUGUCUUCCGUGAAAUCCCUCGGCUCAACUGAGGACGUGCGGAAGAAACUGCAAGGCUCGAGUCCGGGAGAGGGGGGUGGAAUUCCCAGUGUAGCGGUGAAAUGCGUAGAUAUUGGGAGGAACACCGGUGGCGAAGGCGGCCC